Anneissia japonica is the source of this 571-nucleotide long non-coding RNA. RefSeq lists it as uncharacterized. The record is from RefSeq and is a predicted model, not a curated record. The transcript has 3 exons. Lineage: Eukaryota; Metazoa; Echinodermata; Crinoidea; Comatulida; Comatulidae.
CACAAGUUUAUCCAAGCGACGAUGGAAGAGUGCGAAAAGUAGAAGUUCGUGUUCCGUCCUCAAAGAACACAUAUACAAGACCAAUUAAUGAACUUGUGUUAUUGUUAGAAUCUGAAAUUUGAAGAACCUUUGAUAAUGCGAAAAUAAUUACAGUAGGCGAAAUUGUUAAAAUACUUAUGUGGAUGAUAAUAUGUGUUUUUUGAAUUCAUAUGAUUUAACUGAUUAGAGUAUAUUAUGCCUUGAUUCAUAAUUUGCAUUCUUUAUCGUUAGGGUGAUGUGUUGCGACACAUCAGGCGAGGAGUGUAAUGUCUUUAACAUUGUUGUUUAAUGAGUUUUGGAAGUGAGCCCUCUUUGGGGCGCUUUCAGUUCAACUAGUUAAAACGGUAGUUAUGGUACCUUAUGUUCUGAGCUGGAUAGCCAGUGAUCUUGGAUAUAGCCAGUAAUCUUGGAUACGUCUUGAGAGGACAGCACAGUUUAUUUACCAAUAAAUGUUCAACGAAUGAAAAGUGAACACGGUUAUACGACUGGAUUUCAAUAUUGUCUUUUAUUGUCGGGCCAGUACAAUAAUUAU